RNAcentral lists this transfer RNA (72 nucleotides) under Montifringilla nivalis (white-winged snowfinch). Its description in RNAcentral is "tRNA-Ala". It matches the Rfam family "tRNA". From Rfam's summary of the family: Transfer RNA (tRNA) molecules are approximately 80 nucleotides in length. Their secondary structure includes four short double-helical elements and three loops (D, anti-codon, and T loops). Lineage: Eukaryota; Metazoa; Chordata; Aves; Passeriformes; Passeridae. The record is from RNAcentral.
UAAGGUCCUAGCUUAAUUAAAGCAUCUGAGUUGCAUUCAGAAGAUGCAGGGUAGUAUCUUGCGGACUUUAGC